This 3308-nucleotide ribosomal RNA is filed under the name Agathobacter rectalis. RNAcentral's name for it is "bacterial LSU rRNA". It matches the Rfam family "Bacterial large subunit ribosomal RNA". Lineage: Bacteria; Bacillati; Bacillota; Clostridia; Lachnospirales; Lachnospiraceae. The record is from RNAcentral.
AAAAGAGCGCAGGGUGGAUGCCUUGGCACUAAGAGCCGAAGAAAGACGUGAUAAGCUGCGAAAAGCUGCGGGGAGAUGCAAAUAAUCCUUGAUCCGCAGAUGUCUGAAUGGGGAAACCCGGUACGAAGAACUCGUAUCAUCCAUACGCCAAUCCAUAACGUAUGGAGGGGAACCCGGUGAACUGAAACAUCUAAGUAGCCGGAGGAAGAGAAAGAAACAUCGAUUUUGUUAGUAGCGGCGAGCGAAAGCGAAAGAGGCCAAACCGGAGUGCGUGCACUCCGGGGUUCGGACCGCAUUUAAGAUUCAGUGAUUCUAGCAGAAAGGUUUGGGAAAGCCUGCCGGAGAGGGUGAAAGCCCCGUAAGCGAAAGGAAAGCUGACUGAGCGGGAUCCAGAGUACAUCGAGACACGAGAAACCUUGAUGGAAAGAGCGGGGACCACCCCGUAAGCCUAAAUACUACUUAGUGACCGAUAGCGCAUAGUACUGUGAAGGAAAGGUGAAAAGGACCCCGGGAGGGGAGUGAAAGAGAACCUGAAACCCUGUGUUUACAAGCUGUGGAAGUUCUUUAAAUGAACAACCGCGUACUUUUUGUAGAACGGUCCGGCGAGUUGCGGAUACUGGCAAGGUUAAGCACUUAAGGUGCGGAGCCGAAGGGAUACCAAGUCUUAACAGGGCGUUAAGUCAGUAUACGCAGACCCGAAACCGGGUGAUCUAUCCAUGUCCAGGUUGAAGUUGUCGUAAAAGACAAUGGAGGACCGAAGCCACAUCCGUUGAAAAGGGUGGGCAUGAGGUGUGGAUAGGGGAGAAAUUCCAAUCGAACCCGGAGAUAGCUGGUUCUCCUCGAAAUAGCUUUAGGGCUAGCCUCGAUUUAGUCUUAUGGAGGUAGAGCACUGAAUUUCCGCGGGGGCGUCAAAGCUUACCAAAGAAUAUCAAACUCCGAAUGCCAUGUAGAUGAUGAUCGGGAGUCAGACUGCACGAGAUAAGUUGGGCAGUCAAAAGGGAAAGAGCCCAGACCACCGGCUAAGGUCCCAAAGUGCGUGUUAAGUGGAAAAGGAUGUGGGAAUUCGAAGACAACUAGGAUGUUGGCUCAGAAGCAGCCAUACAUUCAAAGAGUGCGUAACAGCUCACUAGUCGAGAGUUCCUGCGCCGAAAAUGUCCGGGGCUGAAACACGACACCGAAGCCGUGGACUCGCAAUGCGAGUGGUAGAGGAGCAUUCUUAAAACCGACGAAGCUGUACCGAAAGGAGCAGUGGAGGGAUAAGAAGAGAGAAUGCCGGAAUGAGUAGCGAGAGAAAGGUGGGAAUCCUUUCGGCCGAAUAUCUAAGGUUUCCAGAGUAAAGCUGAUCUGCUCUGGGUAAGUCGGGGCCUAAGCACAGGUCGCAAGACGUAAGCGAUGGAUAACAGGUUUAGAUUCCUGUACCACGCAUUAUCAGAACUGUAGGGACGCAUGUGGAAAGCACGAGCCGGGAAUGGAAAGACCGGUACAAGCGGGGUAGGUGUACGAUAGGCAAAUCCGUCGUAUAAUCCGAAGACGUGAUGUGGAGCGAAAUAAAGUAGCGAAGCGUGUGAGCCAUGUGCCGAGAAAAGCUGCUAUUGUGUAAUGCGUGCCCGUACCGUAAACCGACACAGGUGGAUGAGGAGAGAAUCCUAAGGCCGGCGGAAGAAGCAUUGUUAAGGAAUUCGGCAAAAUGACCCCGUAACUUCGGGAGAAGGGGUGCCUGCGAGAGCAGGCCGCAGAGAAUAGGCUCAAGCAACUGUUUAGCAAAAACACAGGUCUAUGCGAAACCGAAAGGUGAAGUAUAUGGGCUGACGCCUGCCCGGUGCUGGAAGGUUAAGAGGAGAGGUUAGCUUCGGCGAAGCUUUGAAUUUAAGCCCCAGUAAACGGCGGCCGUAACUAUAACGGUCCUAAGGGAGCGAAAUUCCUUGUCGGGUAAGUUCCGACCCGAACGAAAGGCGUAAUGAUUUGAGCACUGUCUCGACAAUGCAUCCGGUGAAAUUGAAGUACCAGUGAAGAUGCUGGUUCCCCGCGCCAGGACGGAAAGACCCCAUGGAGCUUUACUCCAGUUUGAUACCGGGAUUCGGUACUGCAUGUACAGGAUAGGUGGGAGACGAAGAAGGAUGGACGCCAGUCUGUCCGGAGUCGCUGUUGGGAUACCACCCCUGUAGUACUGGGUUUCUAACCAGUCACCGUGAACCGGUNNNNNNNNNNAGCGAAGCUUUGAAUUUAAGCCCCAGUAAACGGCGGCCGUAACUAUAACGGUCCUAAGGUAGCGAAAUUCCUUGUCGGGUAAGUUCCGACCCGCACGAAAGGCGUAAUGAUUUGAGCACUGUCUCGACAAUGCAUCCGGUGAAAUUGAAGUACCAGUGAAGAUGCUGGUUACCCGCGCCAGGACGGAAAGACCCCAUGGAGCUUUACUCCAGUUUGAUACUGGGAUUCGGUACUGCAUGUACAGGAUAGGUGGGAGACGAAGAAGGAUGGACGCCAGUCUGUCCGGAGUCGCUGUUGGGAUACCACCCCUGUAGUACUGGGUUUCUAACCAGUUACCAUGAUCUGGUNNNNNNNNNNGUCCGGAGUCGCUGUUGGGAUACCACCCCUGUAGUACUGGGUUUCUAACCAGUUGCCAUGAACUGGCAAUGGGACAAUGUCAGGCGGGGAGUUUGACUGGGGCGGUCGCCUCCGAAAGGGUAUCGGAGGCGCUCAAAGGUUCCCUCAGAAUGGUUGGAAACCAUUUGAAGAGUGCAAAGGCAGAAGGGAGCUUGACUGCGACACCGACGGGUGGAGCAGGUACGAAAGUAGGACUUAGUGAUCCGGUGGUAUAAAGUGGGAUUGCCAUCGCUCAACGGAUAAAAGCUACCCUGGGGAUAACAGGCUUAUCACUCCCAAGAGUUCACAUCGACGGAGUGGUUUGGCACCUCGAUGUCGGCUCAUCGCAUCCUGGGGCUGUAGCAGGUCCCAAGGGUUGGGCUGUUCGCCCAUUAAAGCGGUACGCGAGCUGGGUUCAGAACGUCGUGAGACAGUUCGGUCCCUAUCCGGCGCGGGCGGAGGAUAUUUGAGAGGAGCUGUCCUUAGUACGAGAGGACCGGGAUGGACGGACCACUGGUGUAUCUGUUGUCGACCAACGGCAUGGCAGAGUAGCCAAGUCUGGAAGGGAUAAACGCUGAAGGCAUCUAAGCGUGAAGCCCCCCUCAAGAUGAGAUAUCCCUCCUUCGGGAGUAAGACCCCUUGAAGACUACAAGGUAGAUAGGGCAGAGGUGGAAGCAUGGCAACAUGUGGAGCUGACUGUUACUAAUAGGUCGAAGGCUUAAUCU